RNAcentral lists this transfer RNA (78 nucleotides) under Methanomassiliicoccales archaeon RumEn M1. Its description in RNAcentral is "tRNA-Arg". It matches the Rfam family "tRNA". From Rfam's summary of the family: Transfer RNA (tRNA) molecules are approximately 80 nucleotides in length. Their secondary structure includes four short double-helical elements and three loops (D, anti-codon, and T loops). Lineage: Archaea; Methanobacteriati; Thermoplasmatota; Thermoplasmata; Methanomassiliicoccales. RNAcentral also lists the same sequence under 2 other names. The record is from RNAcentral.
GCACACGUGGCCUAGUCUGGAUAUGGCAGCAGCCUCCUAAGCUGCAGGUCGGGGGUUCGAAUCCCUCCGUGUGCGCCA